This 468-nucleotide ribosomal RNA is filed under the name uncultured bacterium. RNAcentral describes it as "partial 16S ribosomal RNA". It matches the Rfam family "Bacterial small subunit ribosomal RNA", at positions 28 to 507 of the family's 1533-position model. The record is from RNAcentral.
GACGAACGCUGGCGGCGUGCUUAACACAUGCAAGUCGAACGGAAAGGCCCUGCGUUUGUGGUGUGCUCGAUUGGCGAACGCGUGAGUAACACGUGAGUAACCUGUCCUUGACUGUGGGAUAACUUCAGGGAACUGGGGCGCUUACCCGAUAUGAGCUCUUGCUGCAUGUGGUUGAUAGGUAAGUGUCGGCGGUUGGGGAUGGACUCGCUGCGUAUCAGCUGCUUGGUGGGGUAGUGGCUGACCAAGGCUUCGACGGGUAGCCGGCCUGAGAGGGUGACCGGCGACAUUGGGACUGAGGUACGGCAGCGACUGCUACGGGAGGGAGAAGUGGGGAAUAUUGACGAAUGGGCGGAAGCCUGAUGAAGAAAGGCCGCGUGCGGGAUGACGGCCUUAGGGUUGUAGACCGCUUUCGCAUGUGACGAAGCGUGAGUGACGGUAAUGGGUAAAGAAGCACAGGCUAAAUACGUG